RNAcentral lists this long non-coding RNA (1108 nucleotides) under Anas platyrhynchos platyrhynchos (common mallard). RNAcentral describes it as "lncRNA (ENSAPLG00000030441.1)". The record is from RNAcentral. Lineage: Eukaryota; Metazoa; Chordata; Aves; Anseriformes; Anatidae.
CAAAUCAAACCGGUUGUGUCUUACAGCACCAGUGACAAACAAAAUGUGUGCUACCUAUAGGAGCUUACAAAUGUUAUGUGAGGGUAAAUAGCCAAGAUAAAGAAAAAUGUUUGAAGCAAAAGAAGAAGGCAGGAAAAGGGAAACAGAAGGAGUUGGCAUGACCUCUCGGACAGUUUAAUAGGAUGAUUUUUGCAGUAGUAUCUCCUGGUGAAUACUGGCAUUGGGAUAAUAUAUGGUCUAAACCAAGAAAAAGUCACUUUUUGCAAGAGAGCCUGAUACAAAGUCUUAAGUAAACGUGCCUCACAAAGAAUCCAGAAGUCAUAGGAAACACAUUAAUGAGUACUCUAAAUUUAGGGUGAGGGCAAGGAAAAAGAUCUGUUUUGAAUUUAAGUGUAUACAUUUGUCCACAAGGAUUGAAAAAUUGGUUACUAGGUCUCAUUUUUAGCUUCCUGUGAGAUCUUUAAAAGGAGGUACCAGAGUAAGGCUGAGAUAGAUAGCUGGAGAAGAACGGGGCAAAAAAGGCUGAAGUUAAUUUAUCAUGCAUCUAUUCUUUCUUUGUGACCUAAUGGAUACAGAAUAUUUCUUAGUCACAGAUGUGUUGACUUCCAAAGGUCCCUUCUAACCAUCCAGUCCUACCUUCAGCUUGAAGCAAGGUUGUUUUCAACACCAGUGUUUCAGAGUGAGUUCCCAGCCUCCCCACCUGCCAAAUAAAUCCUGAAGAAACGUCAUAUCUGGAGUGUCUGUUUCCUGCUAAGCAAUGCCCUGUGACCCUUACAGCAGGAGUCUCUUUCCCUUCAGUCUGACUCUGUGACUUUGUGUCUUCUCUCCGUGAGAGUCGAGUGCUGCUCCCUUGGAAGGUCUUGGACUGAAACACCAGGGAUCAAAGGCAAGUUGUUGUGUAUGAAUAGAGGACAUGUCCUCAAACAGAAUACAGAAGGAGGACAAAAUAGACACUUAGUAUUUUUACCUCCAUAUCGACAGCAGAAUAACAAACAAUACUUUAACUCCAUUUUUUAAUGUUGAGGCAAGGAUGCUUCUUCAAGUUGAUCCUAAAUUUCCCUCUACUGUGGUGAGUGGAAGUUUUGUUUCUUUUGUUUCUUUAGUGAGU